ACACACACACACACACACACGCGGUGGUGGUGUCCAUGGGGGGUCCUCUGGAUGAUUAGAGGCCUCCUCUGAUUGCUCCUCUCCUAAUGGCUCCGGUUGCUCCUCAUCAGAGGGGGAAACUCUCGCCGGUGGUUUUCGGGUCCCGUGGUGGGUGUUCGCCGCCGCCGCCGCCGCCCCCGCGUGGCUGACGGGAACUUGGCACGGUUCGAACUUCGUGUCCCGGUGGCGGUGUGCGUAUCGGUAAACGGGGGGGGGGGAUGUGUUUAAAAAAAACUAGCCGAAGGUUUCUGGCCGCACGCCGCCACGUCAGAUGACGUUAGCUAAAAUAGCAUUUUACAGGCACAUGACAUCUGCUCGCACACACCAGCGCUGUGCAUGUUGGCACAGACACACACACGCACACACACACACCAAAGCCUUGUCCUGGCUAGUAAAGAGUUGCCCGGUUAUGAGGCCCAAUAAACAUGUCAGGCUCUCCAGAUGGUCGAAUGAAGCCGCGUUCCAGCGGCUUUGUUAGUGCGUGUUGAUGUGUUUACCUUCCAUCGGAGUUUGCAGGUGUGUUUUCGUCAAAGGCCGUUUUUAAAGUGCGCGUUGUGCAGGCGGGCGUGAAGGUGCGAGCCGUCUGACCUCGGCUUAUUUAGAAAGUAACACGUGCGUGAACCUCAGUGGGGACAUUUUCGUACUCACUUUUAUAUGUUUUUUUUUAAGUACUUUCCUGACCAUUAUAUCACAUGUUCCACAUGCGCACUACUAGAUGAGAUGAUGUCUGGCCAACACUGACGGCAAUAACUUCUGUUGGCCGUAAUUAACUGCAGAAGAGGUGAACAUGUGCCAGAAUAAGCGGUUGGUGGGAAGAAAUGACAGAAUAUUUGCCUUUUUUUAAAAGGUUUAAAAGAUUUUCAAAACCGAAUGAGGAAUUGGAUUCAUAAGUCAGAUGUUCCUUAAGAAUACAGACAAUGUGAUGAAUGUAUGUUCAUCUUUACAAACGUGCUUCUGUUGCAUUAUUGUUCGUUGUCAUUGGGAGACAUACGACACGCUGCUCAGUACGGAUUAGCAAACGUUCCCCGACCGACGUGCUAAGCUAAGCUAGUGACCAAACCAAGUAAUAAACCCCCUUGACGUUUUCUUAUUUUUUUUAUUAGGAUAUUAGCUCAAUUUUCUCAAAUCCAAAAUGCAGGCGGCAAAAAAGUGUGUUUGAUCGGACGCCACAAAGGAACCCACAAACACAGCCUCACACUACAGAGGACAUGCAGUUAGUGGGAAGAUGGUAGUUCUCUCUGUGUGCUUAUGAAACAUUGACCACUACACACCCACACGCUCACACACACCGACACGCUCACACACGCGUGUGGAGUCCUGAGAGUUCUCUCAACAGGCGUGUUCUUCCUGUGAGUGCUUCCCCUCUGCAGCCCCUCUGCCAAUCGUCACGUAGGUCUGCAGCCGUGGGCGUUCAUUGACUGCGCUUAAACAACGGAGGAGGACAACAUCGUGAUGGAGUGAUACAGAAGAGGAGAGCGGUGGAAUAAUAAUGGUGCGACAGAGCGACGGGGGAGAUGGGGGGAGAGAUGGUCUGAUCGAGGGGAGGGAAUUAACUCAUUUAUGGAAGGCUUCAUUUUCUUCCAAUCUAUCUUUCUGCCUUAAUCCCUGACUAAUGGAGAUACAGGUCUGACUCCACCAGAGGAGAGGGAGAAAGGGGAGGUUGAUGAAGUGGAGGUGUAGGGAUCAAGUCAAGGGAGGGGGGGUGGGGGGGGCGAUCAGAGAAGGAAUCCACGGAGGGAGGGCAACGAGGAGAGGAACAGGGCGAUAAUUGAACUUCACCGUUCGGCGCUUUGACAAAAUCCACCUUCUCUAAUCACCCGAGGGCGAAGACGGGAGACAAGCCAGCGAGGAAAAGGGGAGGGCGGGGGGAGAAACGAGAGGCGAGAGAGGAGGAGGAGGAGGAGGAGGAGGAGGCCGGGGUAAUGGAGUGAUGAACGCGAUGACGAGGAGAGGAUGAAGAGGUAACGAGCAGCUUUCAGCCGCUAACUAAUGAGACGCAACCGUCCCCGUCGGUCGCGUCCGGAUCGAUAUCCAUGAAAGACGAGGGACGAAAGACAGCGGCUCCUCCUCCUUGCUCCUGAUGUGACACAUCUGUAAUUCAUCAUUUUCGUUUCGCCGUCCUCAGCGGAGAGUUUGGUCCGGUGACGCAAACUCUUUGUCCCACAGUAAACACACGUGAACCGAGCAAAGUCCGCACACUUCAUCCACCUUCAUUACAACUCUGGAUCUGGUCGUUAAGCAGCAGGUGCACGCUGGGCCUUUACGUGCUGCAGAGGUGUCGGAGCAGUAAGAGCGUUGCAUAAUAACACCGCCAACACUCCCAAUGGUUCCCCUCCUCUCGCGGCUCAGUGCACACGCUGCUGUGUGGCGUUUGGCACAGUGCGCGUCUCCAAUGCGCCGCCGUCUGUGCCCCUCGUUUAUUUAAUUAUUUAGAAAAACAAAAGGUCAGCCGUGGAGGCCCAGCAGGUACACUGUCACGCUGGAUGAACAGGCUUCCACACACACACACACACACACACACACACCUAUUGAGUUAUCGAGUCACUGGGCUGCGCCUCUUCAACGCCGAGUCAGCAAACGCUGUUUUUUUUUGUCUUUUUCAAGGGUCUCGAGUAGGAAAUUGAUGUUUCCUGUUUGCACACGUCAGCGAUGAAAGCUGGUUAAUAAGGGCGCCGCUAUCCAGACCAGGCCAUUCAAUGACACAAUAUGGGGAUGAAUAAAAACACAUUUCAAUGGAGUCUUCGUCAAGGCAAGUGAGUCUGCACCUCAGCCUGAUUGUUUAGGAGCUUUCGUUUAGGUGUUUCUUCUUGCAUCCCUGCAUAUUCCUCACCACCUACGCGCUCUCCUUCGUCUCCUCGUCAUCGCGCUGGUCGCUCUUUCGGGGGAAGCUGAUGGCCAGAGAAACCAUUACAAGCUGCAAAAGAGCCCCACUUUCCCUCACAACCCUCACUUUCACCUCGUUGUUAUGCUUUCAUGGCUCGGAGGAGGAGGAGGAGGAGGAGCAGGAGGAGGGAUGUUUGGAGAGAUGAUUGGAAGAGAAGAAGAGGAAAGUUUGGGGUCUGGCAGCUAGAAGUUCACCUCCGUUUCUCUCUCCCAGGGCUAAUGGGUUAGUUCAACGUGCUGAUUUCUGCAGAAAGCCGCUGUGUUGAGUGGAAAGCGUAGAGACAUCCCCCACAAUCCCUUUCUUACAUGAGUACAUCACUUGGUGGUCUCGAUAUAGCACCGGCGAGGAGAAAGAAACGCUAUUCCUCUUUGUUCCAUUAUGGCAGAAACACACGCGAGGGCCAUGAAUAAUGAAGACCGGUUACAGGCACCUUUAUCAUUAUUUCAGAGAGAGAGAGAAGGGACAAGCGACAGGACGGACAUGAGAGGGUCGGAGGGGCCAAUAAACCGCUGACUCUUCAGGUUUGGACCGAAAGAAGCUCUUUGAGAUCCGCUCGCAGCCUCGGAACAAAAGUUGGUUUCUGCAACCCCGUCUAGGCCAUUUCCUUUAAUAUACACAACUAAAUGCGCUAAAGUGCAGCCUUGUUUGAGUUUAUUUGUGUGUUUUUAGGACUUUUUGUAAAGAGGACAAACUAUAUCAAGCAGAUUUGCAACAGGAGUGAAUCAUUCAGGUGGAUUGAUGUUCCUGACCUCAUGUGCCGUUUUCUUUUCGAGGUUUAUAUUUGAUAAAUCACAACUUUGUUUUAUGAACGUUUCAUAGAAAACACUCACACGUGUAAGCAGCCUUCAUUAAAUGAAUUCAAUAAGGCAGAGUUGACUUUCGAUUUUAUCCUUUUCAAUAAUCUGUUAAACCAAACAGAAGGUACGCUGGGCUUUAAUGUUGGAUUCAAUGGCGUAAGUAAGCUCCAAUUAAAGGAAAGACAAAUACUCUCGUUUGGCUCUUAGAUGUUUAACAGACGUACAUGUUUAGGUUAGCUCGGUUUAAUUAAAGUUAGUCAGAUUUCAAUAUUUAAUUGUUUAACACGAGCAGGAAGAAGCUCAGACAAAGGAGCCGCAGUCAUUUCCAUUAAAUAUAAAUGGACUGUGAUAUCCAAGCAGAAUUAUUUUGAAAAGGUUGCAGAUGAGGAGGCGGGCGUGUGCAGGUGGGCGGAUGAGGAGGUGGGCGUGUACAGGUGGAGGGAUGAGGAGGUGGGUGUGUGCAGGUGGGCGGAUGAGGAGGUGGGCGUGUGGAGGUGGGCGUGUACAGGUGGGGGGAUGAGGAGGUGGGCGUGUGCAGGUGGGCGGAUGAGGAGGUGGGCGUGUGCAGGUGGGCGGAUGAGGAGGUGGGCGUGUGCAGGUGGGCGGAUGAAGAGGUGGGCGUGUGCAGGUGGGCGGAUACAUUCAGACGGUUUAAACUAGUUUCCUGCAUCGACCUUAAGCUCUGUUUAUCGUUGCCACGGAUACGAUUCAUAGAUCUGAGUGGAAACAGGCAACAUAAUCCCCGGUACUCAGAGAGGACGGACAUAAUUUCCCCUGUAAUGGAGAGAUAACAUUUCAAAUUCACAGCUCCGGGAGGGGAGAGGCAUCUAUAUUUCAUCCAGCGAGCAGUAAGUGGUGCAGAGAAAAGAGACGGGACACACAUUCAUAUUUCAUCAGAGAGACACUUGGCAAAAACAACCAGUAAGUGGUGAAAAAAAAAAAGAGGACGGGACAGAAAGAGAAAGGACGCGCAUUCAUAUUUCAUCAAACAGAGAUGCACGGAGUUGAUAAAAACCAGCUACAACUCUCGGGAUCGUCAAUAAAUAGGCAUGAGGGACACUUUCUGAGAAACCCAGCGGGACGCGCAUCCAUAUUUCAUCGGAGAGAGGCGACUGAAAUGGCCUCUAACAGGUGGGCAUCGAUAUAGACACAUCAAGGCCACUUAUGAGGGAGGGGCAGAGGGGCUGAGAGUGCGGGGCAGCAGCAUGUCUAACAGCUGAUAACUGCCUCCAUGAAUAAAGACACACACACAGCGACAUUUAUAGGCAGCCAUUAGACCGCAGGCCGUUACUUUGUUGACACUUUAAGACAUCCAUUUGCUCCAAAAACCAGCCGAACGGGGACAUUGUGACAUCAUCCACCGCAAACACACGACAGCCAAUCAGCACUCGGUGCUCCUUCAAAGAGGACUCGGCUCUGCUUUUUGGUCCACGUCGACGCUAGCGGGGCCAUGACCUCCUUCUGCAGCAGUGAACCAAACACAUCGAUACUUAUGAUACUUAUCAGGCGCCACACACACACACACACACACACAACACUUAUAAUCACUUAUUGUACCAGCAAUAUUAUUUAUUCUUCUAAAUGACACUGAAUGCAAAAGAUAAAUCUGUGAAAAAAUACAUGGAAAUGCACACGGACACACACGCACUCACUCCUCCAGUGCAUUGUGGGUACGGGGUUGACUAAGCGUUGUGUCUAGUGCUGCAUCUCUCUCCACUAAUGUGAUGGCUCAGCCUCUGCGUGUGAGUCUGUGUGUGUUUGUGUGUUUUGUUACACGGAUCGAAAAAAGCAGCAACUCUCCUCAUCGUCCAAAUUCAAUGUUUCUCCUUCUGUUUUGUGUGUCAGUGUGUAUCAGUGUUAGUUUUGUGUCUACAGGUGUGUGUUGUGAAUAUGUGUGUGUGUGUUAUUGAGGGGAAAUGAGGGCUCCUUAUUUGGCCUGACAACGCAAUGAGCCUGUGAGACGAGAUGAGCCUUAAUUAUUGGGCUCCGGGCCAGUAUGUGUGUAUGUGUAUGUGUGUGUUUGUGUGUGUGUGUGUGUGUUUGUCUCUGCGCCCCUCAGACUAAAAUGAUCACAGUGCUGCACUCUCGACACCGAGUGUGUUGACAACAUAAUUGGUUGGCCUGGCAUUUCAAUCCGCCACUGGAAGAUUGCUGUGGGCCGCUGCAUUCUCCGUCCCGCUAGCGGCGGCGACGGCUAACGGGACGGAGAGCGCCGCCAUGGCAACGGCCUCUCCGCCCCCUCUGCCGAUGCUCACAUGAAAUUCACUUUCAAAACUUUCUCUAGUUUUGGCUCGUUGAUUCCCGCUGGUCUCUGACCGGAGAAGACACAUAUAUAUGUAUACAUAUAUAAAUAAAUAAAUAAAUAUAUAUAUUAUUUAU
This is a long non-coding RNA of Gasterosteus aculeatus aculeatus (three-spined stickleback), 6099 nucleotides long. The record is from Ensembl. NCBI's taxonomy places the organism in Eukaryota, Metazoa, Chordata, Actinopteri, Perciformes, Gasterosteidae.